UUAAGGUCAGACCCAGGCAGUGGGUGGCCCUGAGUGACCAAACUGUCACUUGACCCAACAUUCACACUGCUAUUUUCAGUCCUGCAGUAGGCCCUGAAGCUAAGGGAUUGAAGGCAAAGGGGUAUCCUCUUUCAGCACUGAGAGACAAGAGGAAAAGACUCAAGGAGCUGUGGCUUAAGGUUGUGGAUUGAACUGAUGGAACUGGAUCUUGACCUGUUGAUGGCUUUGCAGAUGAAGAUCAAGGCCUUCAUCUGACAAUGGAAGUGGGGCUGGAGCAAGUGGAGGGAUUUGAGCACAGAGAUGAUGUGUUCACAGCAGCCAGUCCUGCUGAGGAGAUACACCGUUUUCCAGAAUAUGGUCCCCCAUGCUGUAGACAUGGCCUGCAUUCUUUGUUCCCAGAUGGAAAAUUUUGCAUUUGGCUGAAUCGUUUGACUGGACACAGCUCACCAAGUGAUUCAUAUUGUUUAUGACUCACCCUGACCUCAUCACUAUGUACCCCUUUCCUAAGCUUUGUUAAACUGUACAUUUUAUCAGCAUGAUUUUAUAUUUACUCCUAUAUCACUGAUGAAAUAUUGUAUAGCGUCAGUCCUAGUACUGCACCCUGUGGAACCCCACUAGAAACACUUCUUUUUAUGAUGUUUCUCCAUUGACAACUACUUUAAGAUCUGUCACUAAGCCAGUUCUUAAUCCAUUUAACGUGCAUUUUAUUGAUAUUGUCUAGUGUUAGUUUUGUAAUCAGAAGGUCAUGCAGUACUAAAUCAAACUCCUUACAAAGGUCUAAAGUAUAUUAUAUCUAUGCAGUUAUCUUUAUCAACCAAAGUUGUAAAUAUGUGAAAGAAUGAAAUCAGGGUUGUUUGACUGACCUAUUUUCCAUAAAACCACUCUGACAGGCAUGUUCAUUGAAGGUAUGCAAGUGUAAAACAGCAGAAUUUGGCCCACUCUAGGUUCCAGUUAAAAUA
Gopherus flavomarginatus (Mexican gopher tortoise) is the source of this 959-nucleotide long non-coding RNA. RefSeq lists it as uncharacterized. Lineage: Eukaryota; Metazoa; Chordata; Testudines; Testudinidae. The record is from RefSeq and is a predicted model, not a curated record. The transcript is spliced from 3 exons.